RNAcentral lists this ribosomal RNA (627 nucleotides) under Triticum aestivum (bread wheat). Its description in RNAcentral is "partial small subunit ribosomal RNA". Lineage: Eukaryota; Viridiplantae; Streptophyta; Magnoliopsida; Poales; Poaceae. The record is from RNAcentral.
GACGUCGCCCUCCUCCCUAUGGACGUGGCCGACUCUCCGGACGUCACCUCUUGGCGUCUGGAACCCUCCGGCUGCAUCUCCACCAAAUCCCUCUACGCGGCUAUAGCCCCAUCGACGGCCCCAGAGCCCUUCAGUUUGAUUUGGGACAUCCGCCUCCCCUUAAAGAUCCGGAUCUUUCUUUGGCAAUGGAUCCGUGGCCGCCUUCCGUCCGGCGUUGAGGUCCUUAAGCGCCAUGGCCCUGGAGAUGGGAUGUGCCCUAUGUGUGGCACGGUAGAGGAUGCCAACCACAUCUUCUUCUCAUGCUACACGGCACAGUUCCUUUGGUCUACACGCUGUGGACGAUUCACAAUAAGCUUGUCAUUCAGAAGGUGCCUCUUCGGCGUGCUACUGACUCCAUCCUUAAAAUGUGUGGUUACUUGCAGCUCUGGCGGCCGCUUAGCCGCCCUCAGGACCGAGACGCCAUCAGCACCCUCCUCGCCGACCUUCGAUCGAUGGCCUUCCGCUUGGCGCCUCCGCUCCCGCCGCCACCCCCGGAGCCCGACUAGAUGCAGUGUCUCUCCUGGCUCCUGGCGCGUGUGCCUUUUUGUGUGUUUUUUAGGGCUUGUUGAGUUGUGCCCUCAGCAUUAA